Transfer RNA from Phytophthora infestans T30-4, 73 nucleotides. It matches the Rfam family "tRNA". Rfam says of the family: Transfer RNA (tRNA) molecules are approximately 80 nucleotides in length. Their secondary structure includes four short double-helical elements and three loops (D, anti-codon, and T loops). The record is from Rfam. NCBI's taxonomy places the organism in Eukaryota, Oomycota, Peronosporomycetes, Peronosporales, Peronosporaceae.
GGGGAUGUAGCUCAAAUGGUAGAGCGCUCGCUUAGCGUGCGAGAGGUACAGGGAUCAAUACUCUGCUUCUCCA